GGGAUCUGCUUCUAAGCCAGCUCAACAGGCAGAUAAACAGUUUAGAUUUGGAGAUAUCAUUCGAACCAAAAUGAAGUGGAAAGAUAUGACCUAUCUGUCCGAAUACAAAAAGAGGGGGAUCCCUCCAGGAUAUCACUUUGCAAUCUGGGUUGAUAACCCACCAACGAACGUUGUGAUGUCUAAUCGAAACAAUCGCACCAUUUUUCACUUUGAUGGAAAAAAAGUAAACUGUACAUAUGCCUAUAUUGAAGAUAUCAAUAAGUGGCAGCAGUAUAAUGUUCGUGACAACACGCCUGGUUUUAAUGUCCAACCACUAAAACAAAUAGCCAGUAAUGUGGAGGAAAGAUUUCACAAUUGUGGUGACUAUUCAGUUUUGAGAAACAAUUGUGAACAUCUUGUGACAUGGCUCCGAUAUCAUAAUAAGGUAUCAAAACAGGAUGGAGCUGUUGGAAUCUUUUUACAUUACUUUAAACCCGCUGAAUGGCCUGCUACACUGCCACCAGUUAUUGAACCAACGACUUGAGUUCUAAACCUCUCAGAUGUUCUCUCUCUCUUCCAUCCUCUCUGUCUCUGUAUGAAGUGA
Long non-coding RNA from Salmo salar (Atlantic salmon), 583 nucleotides. RefSeq lists it as uncharacterized. Lineage: Eukaryota; Metazoa; Chordata; Actinopteri; Salmoniformes; Salmonidae. The record is from RefSeq and is a predicted model, not a curated record.